GACGAACGCUGGCGGCGUGCUUAACACAUGCAAGUCGAACGGAAAGGCCCUGCUUUUGUGGGGUGCUCGAGUGGCGAACGGGUGAGUAACACGUGAGUAACCUGCCCUUGACUUUGGGAUAACUUCAGGAAACUGGGGCUAAUACCGGAUAGGAGCUCCUGCUGCAUGGUGGGGGUUGGAAAGUUUCGGCGGUUGGGGAUGGACUCGCGGCUUAUCAGCUUGUUGGUGUGGUAGUGGCUUACCAAGGCUUUGACGGGUAGCCGGCCUGAGAGGGUGACCGGCCACAUUGGGACUGAGAUACGGACCAGACUCCUACGGGAGGCAGCAGUGGGGAAUAUUGCACAAUGGGCGGAAGCCUGAUGCAGCAACGCCGCGUGCGGGAUGACGGCCUUCGGGUUGUAAACCGCUUUCGCCUGUGACGAAGCGUGAGUGACGGUAAUGGGUAAAGAAGCACCGGCUAACUACGUG
Molecule: ribosomal RNA, 468 nt
Filed under: uncultured bacterium
Lineage: Bacteria
Description: partial 16S ribosomal RNA
Rfam family: Bacterial small subunit ribosomal RNA
Source: RNAcentral